Molecule: ribosomal RNA, 879 nt
Filed under: uncultured bacterium
Lineage: Bacteria
Description: bacterial SSU rRNA
Rfam family: Bacterial small subunit ribosomal RNA
Source: RNAcentral
AGAGUUUGAUCAUGGCUCAGGAUGAACGCUGGCGGCGUGCCUAACACAUGCAAGUCGAGCGAUCUUCUUCGGAAGAGAGCGGCGGACGGGUGAGUAACGCGUGGGUAACCUGCCCUGUACACACGGAUAACAUACCGAAAGGUAUGCUAAUACGAGAUAAUAUGCUUUUAUCGCAUGGUAGAAGUAUCAAAGCUUUUGCGGUACAGGAUGGACCCGCGUCUGAUUAGCUAGUUGGUAAGGUAACGGCUUACCAAGGCGACGAUCAGUAGCCGACCUGAGAGGGUGAUCGGCCACAUUGGAACUGAGACACGGUCCAAACUCCUACGGGAGGCAGCAGUGGGGAAUAUUGCACAAUGGGCGAAAGCCUGAUGCAGCAACGCCGCGUGAGCGAUGAAGGCCUUCGGGUCGUAAAGCUCUGUCCUCAAGGAAGAUAAUGACGGUACUUGAGGAGGAAGCCCCGGCUAACUACGUGCCAGCAGCCGCGGUAAUACGUAGGGGGCUAGCGUUAUCCGGAAUUACUGGGCGUGAAGGGUGCGUAGGUGGUUUCUUAAGUCAGAGGUGAAAGGCUACGGCUCAACCGUAGUAAGCCUUUGAAACUGGGAAACUUGAGUGCAGGAGAGGAGAGUGGAAUUCCUAGUGUAGCGGUGAAAUGCGUAGAUAUUAGGAGGAACACCAGUUGCGAAGGCGGCUCUCUGGACUGUAACUGACACUGAGGCACGAAAGCGUGGGGAGCAAACAGGAUUAGAUACCCUGGUAGUCCACGCCGUAAACGAUGAGUACUAGCUGUCGGAGGUUACCCCCUUCGGUGGCGCAGCUAACGCAUUAAGUACUCCGCCUGGGAAGUACGCUCGCAAGAGUGAAACUCAAAGGAAUUGACGG